GCCAGCAUGGUAUAGUGGUUUUACUGUAGGACUACGACUCUGAAGAUCAGGUUCGAUUCCCUGCUUGGCC
Molecule: transfer RNA, 70 nt
Filed under: Phrynosoma platyrhinos (Desert horned lizard)
Lineage: Eukaryota; Metazoa; Chordata; Lepidosauria; Squamata; Phrynosomatidae
Description: tRNA-OTHER
Source: RNAcentral